GCCCUCUCAGGGUCACACCUGGAGAGUUCCCAGUACUCUACCAGUUUCGACUACAGGAGGAAGAGUCAGGCAGAGGCACAGCCAUUCCAUUCCUAACUUGGGCAGUGGUUAGCGAGUGGAAGGCCAUCUGCUACAAGU
RNAcentral lists this small nucleolar RNA (138 nucleotides) under Ornithorhynchus anatinus (platypus). Lineage: Eukaryota; Metazoa; Chordata; Mammalia; Monotremata; Ornithorhynchidae. The record is from RNAcentral.